GGGCUCUUUUUUACAUGUGCACAUGUAAGGACCUUGUUAUCUAUAAUCUAUAUAAUUUAUUAUCCAUUUAUAUUGUGAUGAUCUGAGUUUCCUACUCCUUUUCUUUUGAAUGGUGCCAUUGACAUUAGUUCCGAUGCCCGUUUGUGCAUUUCACUAUCAACUUCUUAAACAAAAACAAAUUUAAUCAUAGUAAUUUUGGCCUUUCAUGCAG
RNAcentral lists this unclassified non-coding RNA (211 nucleotides) under Hevea brasiliensis (rubber tree). Lineage: Eukaryota; Viridiplantae; Streptophyta; Magnoliopsida; Malpighiales; Euphorbiaceae. The record is from RNAcentral.